Molecule: ribosomal RNA, 642 nt
Filed under: Triticum aestivum (bread wheat)
Lineage: Eukaryota; Viridiplantae; Streptophyta; Magnoliopsida; Poales; Poaceae
Description: partial small subunit ribosomal RNA
Source: RNAcentral
AUGUACUUAGCCAGUGCUACAGGACCUGACAUCUCUUUUGCUGUUAGCAAACUGAGUCGGUUUGUCUCAAAACCAGCAGAUGUGCAUUGGAAAGCUCUAGAGAGAGUUUUGCGGUACUUGAAAGGCACUGCGAAUUAUGGAAUUCACUACACUGGGCACCCAAAGGUGCUUGAAGGGUAUAGUGACUCAAACUGGAUCUCAGAUGCUGACGAGAUAAAGGCCACGAGCGGAUAUGCAUUCACUCAUGGAGGUGGCGCUGUUUCUUGGAAGUCUUGCAAGCAGACCAUCUUAACGAGGUCAACAAUGGAAGCAGAACUCACAGCCCUAGAUACAGCUACGGUCGAAGCAGAUUGGCUUCGUCGGCUCUUGAAUGACUUGCCGGUUGUUGAGAAACCUGUACCGGGCAUCCUUAUGAACUGCGAUAAUCCAACUGUGAUCACGAAAGUGAGCAGCUCAAAGGAUAACAUGAAGUCAUCAAGACACGUUCAGAGAAGGUUAAAAUCUGUCAGGAAAAUGAGAAACUCCGGAGUUAUUGCAUUGGAUUAUAUCCAAACGUCUAAGAAUCUGGCAGAUCCUUUUACUAAGGGUCUAUCACGUAAUGUGAUAGAUAAUGCAUCGAGGGAGAUGGGUAUGAGACCCACA